GUAGCCAUAAAAAAGAAUGAGUUUUUGUCCUUUGCAGGGACAUAGAUGAAGCUAGAAAUUAUCAUUCUCAGCAAACUAACACAGGAACAGAAAAACAAACACCGCAUGUUCUCACUCAUAAGUGGGAGUUGAACAAUCAGAACAUGUGGGCACAGGGAGGGGAACAUCACACACUGGGGCUUGUGAGGGAGUGGGGGAUAAUGGGAGGGAUAGCAUUAGGAGAAACACCUAAUAUAGAUGACGGGUUGAUGGGUGCAGGAAAUCACCGUGGCACAUGUAUACCUAUGUAACAAACCUGCACAUUCUGCACAUGUAUCCCAGAACUUAAAAUAUAAUUAAAAAAAUUUAAAACAAAUCACAUGUAGAGUAAGAGAACUAACCAGAAAAGUUGAAAUUAAAUGUAUAUAGAAAAGUUGGAAAUUUGUAACAAAUAUAUUAAACAACCAGACUAAUAAAAAUUACUGUAAUUAAGCAUUUUUUAAAAAAUAAUUCUUAUAAUUGUAAAUUAUAAACCCUGAAGGGCAACUGAGGUACAUAAAUGUUAAAAAUGCUAGUAUAUCUGAUAAUCUCCUUACUGGGCAUUUCUUCCUCAUGAAAAAUAAUGUUUAUUUAAGUAGAAAAUUGGGGAAAAAACAUCAUAUAUUAAAUACUUGGUUAAACCUACACAAUAUAAAUAAUUCCUAAGCUAUUUGGUAUAAUAUAAUGUAACUCUAUUUUUUCUAGAUGAAUAUUUAAAUAUUGCUGAAAUGAUAUAAGUAAAAAAAUUGGAACUAGUAAGGACAUAUGACUUUAAAUACACUCAGGUAUAUCUUCACAUAACACAUGAAAUACAUGGAGAGAAGAAAGAAUUGAAUGUCAUAUACCAAAUUGUUUGCAGUGGUUUUUCCUUGGUGGAGAGCUUAUUUCUGCUUUUUCUAAAUUCCUGACUUAAUGAACUUACUUUGGUAGACCUGUGAGAAAUUCUGGAACAUGUUAAAAUAUGACAUGAACUUGUUGAACUUCACUUCUUCUUUUAAACCUCUGGCAUGAUCCAGGAUCUUCUUGCUUGU
RNAcentral lists this long non-coding RNA (1049 nucleotides) under Homo sapiens (human). RNAcentral describes it as "HSALNT0213986". The record is from RNAcentral. Lineage: Eukaryota; Metazoa; Chordata; Mammalia; Primates; Hominidae.